GUCUACAGCCGUGCCACCCUGAACAAGCCCAAUCCUGUCUGAUCUUGGAAGCUAAGCAGGGUUAGUACUUGGAUGGGAGACUUGUAGGAAACCAAGUGCUGUAGGUG
Molecule: ribosomal RNA, 107 nt
Filed under: Pteropus alecto (black flying fox)
Lineage: Eukaryota; Metazoa; Chordata; Mammalia; Chiroptera; Pteropodidae
Source: RNAcentral